Molecule: unclassified non-coding RNA, 2058 nt
Filed under: Leishmania donovani
Lineage: Eukaryota; Euglenozoa; Kinetoplastea; Trypanosomatida; Trypanosomatidae
Description: gene:LdHU3.16.0490(CDS-product:hypothetical_prote in_conserved)
Source: RNAcentral
AAAGUGUGCCGGUUGCAUCACCCACGUCGUUCUCUCUGCCCUUCGGCUUGGGCACGAGUGCGUUGGCGUGCUUCGGGUUGUUGGGUGCUGACGACACAUAAAAGACAAGAAGCACCAUCGUGGCUGUUCACGCAUAUUUUGCAUCCGUACCGUCCUUCUCCAGAGCCGCAGCUGCACAAUGUAUGUGGGAGGCAGCUGGGUAAAGCAGAAGUCACGGCUGCGUAUCUUCUCUCUCCCCCUCCCUCCCUCCCCCUCUUUCUCAUUCUCUGUGUGUGUGUGCCUGUGCCGGUCUUGGCACUGCUUCUCUCUUUUGCCUCCUCCUCUUCCUCUUCCUGUUCCUGCUGCUGCUCCUUCUCCCCUGUGCUGUUUCUCGGAGCGUGUCGUGCCGAAUCUAUACCACUCUCGCUAUCCGCCUGCCGGCCGCUGCGCUGCGACUUUUUUUUUUGUUUUUUCUCUUGUUUGAUCGGUGUUACGCGGCGCGUUUUCGUCUCCCCAUCCUCCUCCCCAUCCUCCUCCUCCCUUGCCCGUGACACACAUAUACCCGUGCACGAAUGGCACCGGAGAGCGGCCUUGCUCGCUGCUUCCUGCACCGCCUCCAGCGCGCUACGUUUCUGUUUCUUUCUCUGCUCGUGGCACUCUACGCCACCACUUCCUUGUACUACGUGGUGCGCAUCAGCGUGAUCGAGAGGCCUGACCUUUUCGAUCAGAUUGGCAGCAAUGUCAAGGGCUUCGCUCAACGGUGGGUGCCUUGGGCUGUGCCCAUGAGCGAGCACCUCGCUGCUAGCCCCAGCGCUGCCGAGGCUGGUGCGGCAUCGCUUCUCGUCACCUUGCGCGCCAGCUCCCACGAACCGUACACACAGAUGUACAAGGUUCUGCGGAUCGGCGAGCCUAUGACAAGGCAGCGCGUGCGCAACCCUGCCCUUCCGGCGGACGUACCGCUCUGGGACGACGACGGGGAGCGUGCAUCCGCGGAGCGCGGUGGCAGCCUUCGCGACGCCGUGCCGUCGCGUCAGCGCUACGUCCUGGACAAGCUUAAGUCGGGCAGGUGCUACAUGAUACGGCUCAGCUUCUUGGGAUCGCCAAGUGUUGGCUUUGACCUGGUGCUCUACCAAGUGCGCCGCUCCAGCGUGCAGAGGUUGCUCAAAGGCAGCAUCGAAGUCGCUGGCGCAACGUCUCCGACGGCACGCGGUUGGGCAGAGGAGCCACAGGACACAGAGCUGUUAGUCUUUUCCACCAGUCGUGACAACGCGCUCGAGUUCAGCGUCGAGAAGGACGUGUGGGUAGACAGAGAGGACAUCGAUGGCAUAGCGAGUGGCAGUGAUGGCGCCGACGCCACACUGCGGGGCGUCAUCCGGACAGCUUCUGGCACCGAUGAUCCGUUUGUGCCGGUUGUCGAGGUGCGUCCACGCACGCUUUCCAUCCCGGUGGAUGCCUACCGCGUGCCCAUCGUCCGCUUCAACAUAGAGCUGGAGCGGCUGAGCUCGUCCUUUCUGCCUCAGAUGGCUGUCCCCUUCAUGACCUACUUCGUGUGGGUACUCGUCUUUGUGGGGUACCUCGGUAUCUACACGCUGGUAAGCAGCGGCAUCGCUGGCGGCGAGGAGGCCAAGUAGAACCUUGACUAAGCCGACAGGACCGACAGCGACCCACAGUGGAGGGGUGAGGGUGAGAGUCCUGCGGAGUUCUUAACGGUUGCCUCUCCUUCGCAUCUUUCUCUCGCAGCAGCUCGCAGCCACAAUGGACACGCCCCACCUCUCGCUCUGCACACCGACGCGCACAUACAGCUGCCAUCUUCACGAGCUGACACGAACGUGCGUUGGCGAGUCGAUGCCGCCUGUAAAGCAGAGGAAGCUGGGAGCAAUGUAUGAGAGAGGGGGGAGGGAGGGAGGAAGAAGAGGAGAGGGUGAGGCACGGAGAGGUGCGGGUGGGCAGGGGCUCGCCCUCUUCGCCAAGACUGCGUUGUGGCGGGUCUGGGCAACGACCGCGUCAGCGCGACGCGAGCCCGCACACACGCAGUUACAUUGGUCGAUGCUUCUUUUUUUUUUGCAACCCACACCGCAG